UACUAUUGAACGUAUUUAUGUUUGAUAACCUUAAAUAUAUUCGUUAUAUUAUUAUCUUCAUUAAACGUCCAAGGGAACUGAUAUUUGUAAUGUUGGGAUAAUUAAUUCGUUAAAUAGGUUCAUUGACAUUGUGUCAAAAUGGCCUGGGUCAACACACAUGAUGCCUCUGUCUUCUACAGCUUUGGUUUGAACUUUGAAGACAUUUCCUUGAAGAAAACCACCUGGGAUACCUACUUGGCGACUCCGGCUAUCCUUUAAAAAAUAUGUAUAAACGACCUUGCUUAGGCCGUCAACAGAUGCAGAGGUGUCUACAUGAAACUGAAGGAUGUUUAUUCAUGAGACUUGAUGAGUGCUGUCAAGCAGUAGAUGCAUGAAUGUGCCUGCACAACUUAUGCAUAGAUCAGCAGGUACCACUGCCUGAACAACUUACUAGUAUUGAGGCACAGGAAGUGGAUUAUGUUGUGUACGGUGCCCCACAACAGAACCAAAAUGCAGCACUUAUAGACAUCAUUAACUUAUUUAUGUAGGUGUUGUGUCAUGCUCACUUGUGCAUGAAGUGCUAUAGGUCAGCCAUUGUGGUUUGUCUAUGCCCGGCUUCAUGCCUUAUCCACAUUUGACUCUAUAGUGAUGAAAGUUGGUCAUAAUGUUUCUGUUAAUAACAGUCUGCAAAACUAAGUUUUUCGUCUUCAUAGCCAAUGUGGCUAUUAAACUUUGAUAAUGUCAUAGCCAGAGGAAAGUUUUCAUAGCCAGAAUAAUUAAUUUACAGUGACAUUAUCAUGAAAGAACGGCAACGGUCGUUAUAUAUAGAUUGCAAUUGGGGGGGGGGGUAAGAUUGUGAAAAAAUCAGUAUUCUAGGUUUCAAACUUUUAUUCCAUCACAUCUUACUCUGAGAGUUCUUUACAAUAUUUUGCAAUGUUAUUUUCAUUAUUAAUGAUAUAAAUGAUAAACACUGUUAUUUCGUUAUUUCAAAGCUAUUAAUAAAGACAUUCAACCAUUUUACUUAAUUUAUAAAAACCCUCGCACUAUUAUUUCAUUUAUCGGCGUAGAAUGCAAGAUCAGUUUACCAAAAGUAUUACAACAUUUUAAAUACGCAAGCCAGACUACACUCUAUAUAACAUCUAAGGGAGAUCACUAAUGAUAGAAAACUUAGGGAAGUAACCAAGCGUUUUCACUAAGAAUUUACACCUGAAAUGCGUCAAUUUAUUAUUAAUUGGUUUAUUUGCUCAGAUUUUUUUUCAUCGCAAUUCAGGUAAUCUAUUUUCAAUUUUUCUAUCGCCAGAGCUGAGAUUUCAUCGCAUUGGCGAUCAGGCGAUGGGUAAAUUUUGCAGACUGUAAUAAUAUCUAGGCUGUUUUCAAGUGUGGUCAAAAUCUGUGUAAGAGUGUUAAUAUUGAAAACUUCUAUGUCAUUCUUUUUUGUUGAUUUUUAGCUCGACUAUUAUAUAUGAAAUAUAUAUAGUGGAGCUAUCCUACUCUACCCGGUGUCGGCGUCUGUGUGAGCGUUGGAAUGUUAAUGUUUGCGUACCACCUCAAAUAUUUUUGUCCCUUGAGGCUUGACAUAUUGCUUUCAUAUUUUGCAUACUUCUUAACCAACAUGACUCCAAUCUAUAAAGAAGAGCAGACAACUGUAUCAAGCAUUUUGUAAGAAUUAUGGCCCUUUUUCCACUUAGAAUAUGCAUAUUAUUGACAAAUCUAUGUUAAAGUUUGUGUGCCACCUCAAAUAUUUUCUAUGUACCUUGUCAUAUUGCUGUUCUAUUUUGCAUACUUCUUUACCAACAUGACCACAAUCUAUAAACAAGAGCAGACAACUAUAUCAAGCAUUUUGUAAGAAUUAUGUUUCCUUUUUAUACUUAGAAAAUUGAAAAUUUGGUUUAGUUUUGUGUUAAGGUUUGCUUUAUUCCUUAAGUAUCAAAACUAUUGCUUUCAUACUUGCAACACUUACUAACUAUCAUAAGAGGACUGUGCAGGCAAAGUUAUGUAACUCUGACUGGCAUUUUGACAGAAUUAUGGCCCCUUUUAUACUUAGAUAAUUUUACAUUUGGUAAAGUUUUUUGUUUUGGUCCAGUUUACUCCUAAAGUACCAUAGCUAUUGCUUUCAGACUUAAAAAACUCUCUAACUAUCGUUAGGGGACUGUACAGUGCAAGUUGCAUAACUCUGGUUGGCUUUUUAACGGAAUUAUGGCCCUUUUUUGUCUAGUAACUUCAAAUAUUUUGUAAAAUUUUGUGUUAAGAUCCACUUUACUUCUAAAGUAUCAAAGCUAUUGCUUUCAUACUUGCAACACUUACUAACUAUGGUAAGGGGACUGUGCAGGCAAAGUUAUGUAACUCUGACUGGCAUUUUGACUGAAAUGAUUUGGUCCACUUUACCCCUAAAGUAUCAUAGAUAAUGCUUUCAUACUUGGAACACUCACAAACUAUCAUAAGGGGACAGUAAAGGACAAGUUGCAUAACUCUGGUUGUCAUUUUUACGGAAUUAUGGCCCUCUGACUUAGUAACUUUGAAUAUAUGGUUACAUUUUGUGUUUAGAUCCACUUUACUUCUAAAGUAUCAAGGCUAUUGCUUUUAAACUUCAAAUACUUUCAUGCUAUCAUGAGGGUACUGUACCUGGCAAGUUGAAUUUUACCUUGACCUUUGAAUAACCUUGACUCUCAAGGUCAAAUUAUUAAAUUUUGCUAAAAUUGCCAUACCUUCUUUAUUUAUGAUUAGAUUCGUUUGAUACUUUGACAAAACAACUCUUACCUGACAUACCACAAUUGACUCCACCCAAACCAUCCCCCACGCCCCCUCCCCGAAUCCCCCCUCAAAACCCCCCCCCAUUAUUUUUUUUUAAAUUAAAGAUCAUCUAAUAAAUGACCACCACACCCUAACACUAUACCCCCCCCCCCCCCACCCCCCACCCCAAAAAAUAUUUUUUAUGUCCCCGGUAGGGUGGCAUAUAGCAAUUGAACUGUCCGUCAGUAUGUCAGUCUGUCCUUCCGAAAAAAAUUUAACAUUGGCCAUAACUUUUACACUUUUUAAGAUAGCAACUUUAUAUUUGGCAUGCAUGUGUAUCUUAUGGAGCUGCACAUUAUGAUUGGUGAAAUGUCAAGGUCAAGGUCAUCCUUCAAGGUCAAAUUUAUGGCGUCUGUUCGUCCGAAAACUUUAAUAUUGGCCAUAAUUUUUUCAAUAUUGAAGAUAGCAACUUGAUAUUUGGCACGCAUGUGUACCUCAUGGAGCUGAACAUUUUGAGUGGUGAAAGGUGAAGGUCAUCCUUCAAGGUCAAAUAUCAAAUAUAUGGCAUCUGUCCGUCCGAAAAUUUUAACACUGACCAUAACUUUUUUAAUAUUGAAGAUAGCAAAACUUGAUAUUUGGCAUGCAUGUGUAUCUCAUGAAGCUGCACAUUUUGAGUGGUGGAAGUUCAAGGUCAUGGUCAUCCUUCAAGGUCAAUUUUUUUGUUUUAAUUUCAAAGCGGCGUUCUCAUGAAGCUGCAAAUUUUGAAUGGUGGAAAUUCAAGGUCAUCCUUUAAGGUCAAAGGUCAAAAAAAAAAUUCAAAGUGUUAUCAUGAAGCUGCACAUUUCGAGUGGUGUAGGUUCAAGGUCAAGGUCAUCCUUCAAGGUCAAGGUCAUUCUUCAAGGUCAAAGGUCAAACAAAAUAAUAAAAAAUUCAAAGCGGCGUUAUCAUGAAGCUGCACAUUUUGAGUGGUGGAAGUUCAAGGUCAAGGUCAUCCUUCAAGGUAAAAAAUAAAAUAAAAAAAUUCAAAG
This is a long non-coding RNA of Dreissena polymorpha, 3737 nucleotides long. RefSeq lists it as uncharacterized. NCBI's taxonomy places the organism in Eukaryota, Metazoa, Mollusca, Bivalvia, Myida, Dreissenidae. The record is from RefSeq and is a predicted model, not a curated record. The transcript has 4 exons.